This 74-nucleotide transfer RNA is filed under the name Collybiopsis luxurians FD-317 M1. RNAcentral's name for it is "tRNA-Lys (CTT) (tRNA-Lys-CTT-3-1)". It matches the Rfam family "tRNA". From Rfam's summary of the family: Transfer RNA (tRNA) molecules are approximately 80 nucleotides in length. Their secondary structure includes four short double-helical elements and three loops (D, anti-codon, and T loops). Lineage: Eukaryota; Fungi; Basidiomycota; Agaricomycetes; Agaricales; Omphalotaceae. The record is from RNAcentral.
GCCCGCCUAGCUCAAUCGGAUAGAGCGUCAGACUCUUAAUCUGAAGGCUGCAAGUUCAACCCUCGUGGUGGGCU